AGAGUUUGAUCCUGGCUCAGAUUGAACGCUGGCGGCAGGCCUAACACAUGCAAGUCGAGCGGUAGAGAGAAGCUUGCUUCUCUUGAGAGCGGCGGACGGGUGAGUAAUGCCUAGGAAUCUGCCUGGUAGUGGGGGAUAACGUUCGGAAACGGACGCUAAUACCGCAUACGUCCUACGGGAGAAAGCAGGGGACCUUCGGGCCUUGCGCUAUCAGAUGAGCCUAGGUCGGAUUAGCUAGUUGGUGAGGUAAUGGCUCACCAAGGCGACGAUCCGUAACUGGUCUGAGAGGAUGAUCAGUCACACUGGAACUGAGACACGGUCCAGACUCCUACGGGAGGCAGCAGUGGGGAAUAUUGGACAAUGGGCGAAAGCCUGAUCCAGCCAUGCCGCGUGUGUGAAGAAGGUCUUCGGAUUGUAAAGCACUUUAAGUUGGGAGGAAGGGCAGUAAAUUAAUACUUUGCUGUUUUGACGUUACCGACAGAAUAAGCACCGGCUAACUCUGUGCCAGCAGCCGCGGUAAUACAGAGGGUGCAAGCGUUAAUCGGAAUUACUGGGCGUAAAGCGCGCGUAGGUGGUUUGUUAAGUUGGAUGUGAAAUCCCCGGGCUCAACCUGGGAACUGCAUUCAAAACUGACUGACUAGAGUAUGGUAGAGGGUGGUGGAAUUUCCUGUGUAGCGGUGAAAUGCGUAGAUAUAGGAAGGAACACCAGUGGCGAAGGCGACCACCUGGACUAAUACUGACACUGAGGUGCGAAAGCGUGAGGAGCAAACAGGAUUAGAUACCCUGGUAGUCCACGCCGUAAACGAUGUCAACUAGCCGUUGGAAGCCUUGAGCUUUUAGUGGCGCAGCUAACGCAUUAAGUUGACCGCCUGGGGAGUACGGCCGCAAGGUUAAAACUCAAAUGAAUUGACGGGGGCCCGCACAAGCGGUGGAGCAUGUGGUUUAAUUCGAAGCAACGCGAAGAACCUUACCAGGCCUUGACAUCCAAUGAACUUUCUAGAGAUAGAUUGGUGCCUUCGGGAACAUUGAGACAGGUGCUGCAUGGCUGUCGUCAGCUCGUGUCGUGAGAUGUUGGGUUAAGUCCCGUAACGAGCGCAACCCUUGUCCUUAGUUACCAGCACGUCAUGGUGGGCACUCUAAGGAGACUGCCGGUGACAAACCGGAGGAAGGUGGGGAUGACGUCAAGUCAUCAUGGCCCUUACGGCCUGGGCUACACACGUGCUACAAUGGUCGGUACAGAGGGUUGCCAAGCCGCGAGGUGGAGCUAAUCCCACAAAACCGAUCGUAGUCCGGAUCGCAGUCUGCAACUCGACUGCGUGAAGUCGGAAUCGCUAGUAAUCGCGAAUCAGAAUGUCGCGGUGAAUACGUUCCCGGGCCUUGUACUCACCGCCCGUC
This 1395-nucleotide ribosomal RNA is filed under the name uncultured bacterium. RNAcentral's name for it is "bacterial SSU rRNA". It matches the Rfam family "Bacterial small subunit ribosomal RNA". The record is from RNAcentral.